Molecule: ribosomal RNA, 1774 nt
Filed under: Salmonella enterica
Lineage: Bacteria; Pseudomonadati; Pseudomonadota; Gammaproteobacteria; Enterobacterales; Enterobacteriaceae
Description: partial 23S ribosomal RNA
Rfam family: Bacterial large subunit ribosomal RNA
Source: RNAcentral
GGGGCUAAACCAUGCACCGAAGCUGCGGCAGCGACGCUGAUGCGUUGUUGGGUAGGGGAGCGUUCUGUAAGCCUGCGAAGGUGGCCUGUGAGGGUUGCUGGAGGUAUCAGAAGUGCGAAUGCUGACAUAAGUAACGAUAAAGCGGGUGAAAAGCCCGCUCGCCGGAAGACCAAGGGUUCCUGUCCAACGUUAAUCGGGGCAGGGUGAGUCGACCCCUAAGGCGAGGCCGAAAGGCGUAGUCGAUGGGAAACGGGUUAAUAUUCCCGUACUUGGUGUUACUGCGAAGGGGGGACGGAGAAGGCUAUGUUGGCCGGGCGACGGUUGUCCCGGUUUAAGCGUGUAGGUGUGUGUUCCAGGUAAAUCCGGUUCACUUUAACACUGAGGCGUGAUGACGAGGCACUACGGUGCUGAAGCAACAAAUGCCCUGCUUCCAGGAAAAGCCUCUAAGCAUCAGGUAACAUCAAAUCGUACCCCAAACCGACACAGGUGGUCAGGUAGAGAAUACCAAGGCGCUUGAGAGAACUCGGGUGAAGGAACUAGGCAAAAUGGUGCCGUAACUUCGGGAGAAGGCACGCUGACACGUAGGUGAAGUGAUUUACUCAUGGAGCUGAAGUCAGUCGAAGAUACCAGCUGGCUGCAACUGUUUAUUAAAAACACAGCACUGUGCAAACACGAAAGUGGACGUAUACGGUGUGACGCCUGCCCGGUGCCGGAAGGUUAAUUGAUGGGGUCAGCGCAAGCGAAGCUCCUGAUCGAAGCCCCGGUAAACGGCGGCCGUAACUAUAACGGUCCUAAGGUAGCGAAAUUCCUUGUCGGGUAAGUUCCGACCUGCACGAAUGGCGUAAUGAUGGCCAGGCUGUCUCCACCCGAGACUCAGUGAAAUUGAACUCGCUGUGAAGAUGCAGUGUACCCGCGGCAAGACGGAAAGACCCCGUGAACCUUUACUAUAGCUUGACACUGAACAUUGAGCCUUGAUGUGUAGGAUAGGUGGGAGGCUUUGAAGUGUGGACGCCAGUCUGCAUGGAGCCGACCUUGAAAUACCACCCUUUAAUGUUUGAUGUUCUAACGUGGACCCGUGAUCCGGGUUGCGGACAGUGUCUGGUGGGUAGUUUGACUGGGGCGGUCUCCUCCUAAAGAGUAACGGAGGAGCACGAAGGUUGGCUAAUCCUGGUCGGACAUCAGGAGGUUAGUGCAAUGGCAUAAGCCAGCUUGACUGCGAGCGUGACGGCGCGAGCAGGUGCGAAAGCAGGUCAUAGUGAUCCGGUGGUUCUGAAUGGAAGGGCCAUCGCUCAACGGAUAAAAGGUACUCCGGGGAUAACAGGCUGAUACCGCCCAAGAGUUCAUAUCGACGGCGGUGUUUGGCACCUCGAUGUCGGCUCAUCACAUCCUGGGGCUGAAGUAGGUCCCAAGGGUAUGGCUGUUCGCCAUUUAAAGUGGUACGCGAGCUGGGUUUAGAACGUCGUGAGACAGUUCGGUCCCUAUCUGCCGUGGGCGCUGGAGAACUGAGGGGGGCUGCUCCUAGUACGAGAGGACCGGAGUGGACGCAUCACUGGUGUUCGGGUUGUCAUGCCAAUGGCACUGCCCGGUAGCUAAAUGCGGAAGAGAUAAGUGCUGAAAGCAUCUAAGCACGAAACUUGCCCCGAGAUGAGUUCUCCCUGAGACUUUAGGUCUCCUGAAGGAACGUUGAAGACGACGACGUUGAUAGGCCGGGUGUGUAAGCGCAGCGAUGCGUUGAGCUAACCGGUACUAAUGAACCGUGAGGCUUAACCUUACA